Molecule: small nuclear RNA, 187 nt
Organism: Zootoca vivipara (common lizard)
Lineage: Eukaryota; Metazoa; Chordata; Lepidosauria; Squamata; Lacertidae
Product: U2 spliceosomal RNA
Source: RefSeq, a predicted model, not a curated record
UUCGCUUCUUGGCUUUUUGGCUAAGAUCAUGUGUAGUAUGUGCUCUUAUCAGUUUAAUAUCUGACAUGUUGAGGACUAUAUAUUAAAUUGAAUUUUGAUGCUAGGGAAGUUUUUUAAUGACUGUUUUAAUGUAUUUUUAAUAUCCUGUUGGAAGCUGCCCAGAGUGUCUGGGGAAACCCAGACAGAU